RNAcentral lists this ribosomal RNA (262 nucleotides) under uncultured Staphylococcus sp. RNAcentral's name for it is "partial 16S ribosomal RNA". It matches the Rfam family "Bacterial small subunit ribosomal RNA", at positions 99 to 354 of the family's 1533-position model. Lineage: Bacteria; Bacillati; Bacillota; Bacilli; Caryophanales; Staphylococcaceae. The record is from RNAcentral.
CGGACGGGUGAGUAACACGCGGAUAACCUACCUAUAAGACUGGGAUAACUUCGGGAAACCGGAGCUAAUACCGGAUAAUAUAUUGAACCGCAUGGUUCAAUAGUGAAAGACGGUUUUGCUGUCACUUAUAGAUGGAUCCGCGCCGCAUUAGCUAGUUGGUAAGGUAACGGCUUACCAAGGCAACGAUGCGUAGCCGACCUGAGAGGGUGAUCGGCCACACUGGAACUGAGACACGUCCAGACUCCUACGGGAGGCAGCAGAU